Molecule: ribosomal RNA, 1763 nt
Filed under: Chernetidae sp. ARP-2015
Lineage: Eukaryota; Metazoa; Arthropoda; Arachnida; Pseudoscorpiones; Chernetidae
Description: SSU rRNA
Rfam family: Eukaryotic small subunit ribosomal RNA
Source: RNAcentral
GUGGAUCUUGCCAGUAGUCAUAUGCUUGUCUCGAAGAUUAAGCCAUGCAUGUCUAAGUACACGCCCUAGCAAGGCGAAACCGCGAAUGGCUCAUUAAAUCAGUUAUGGUUCCUUAGAUCGUACACAUUUACUUGGAUAACUGUGGUAAUUCUAGAGCUAAUACAUGCAAUUGAGCCCUCGUCCCUUUUAGGGUGAGGGUGCUUUUAUUAGACCAAGACCAAACGGGGGCAACUCCGAUAGUCGUGGUGACUCUGAAUAACUAUGGCGGAUCGCACAGUCCUAGUACUGGCGACGCAUCUUUCAAGUGUCUGCCUUAUCAACUUUCGAUGGUAGGUUAUGCGCCUACCAUGGUUGUUACGGGUAACGGGGAAUCAGGGUUCGAUUCCGGAGAGGGAGCCUGAGAAACGGCUACCACAUCCAAGGAAGGCAGCAGGCGCGCAAAUUACCCACUCCCGGCACGGGGAGGUAGUGACGAAAAAUAACAAUACGGGACUCUAACGAGGCUCCGUAAUUGGAAUGAGUACACUCUAAACCUUUUAACGAGGAUCUAUUGGAGGGCAAGUCUAGUGCCAGCAGCCGCGGUAACUCUAGCUCCAAUAGCGUAUAUUAAAGUUGUUGCGGUUAAAAAGCUCGUAGUUGGAUCUCAGUCGCGCUCCCUUCGAUACGUUGCAAAGCGUUUAUCGUUGGGGCCGACAGCACGUUGGUGGCCCCGGUUGGCUUUAAUCGGUUGAUCGGGUUCUCCGGCAAUUUUACUUUGAAAAAAUUAGGGUGCUCAAAGCAGGCUGGUGCCUGGAUAUUGGUGCAUGGAAUAAUGGAAUAGGACCUCGGUUCUAUUUUGUUGGUUUUCGGAUCCCGAGGUAAUGAUUGAGAGGGACAGACGGGGGCAUUCGUAUUGCGGCGCUAGAGGUGAAAUUCUUGGACCGCUGCAAGACGAACUACUGCGAAAGCAUUUGCCAAGAAUGUUUUCAUUAAUCAAGAACGAAAGUUAAAGGUUCGAAGGCGAUCAGAUACCGCCCUAGUUCUAACCAUAAACGAAUGCCAACCACGCGAUCCGCCUGAGUUCCUUAAACGACUCGGCGGGCAGCUUCCGGGAAACCAAAGUUUUUGGGUUCCGGGGGAAGUAUGGUUGCAAAGCUGAAACUUAAAGGAAUUGACGGAAGGGCACCACCAGGAGUGGAGCCUGCGGCUUAAUUUGACUCAACACGGGAAAACUCACCCGGCCCGGACACCGGAAGGAUUGACAGAUUGAUAGCUCUUUCUUGAUUCGGUGGGUGGUGGUGCAUGGCCGUUCUUAGUUGGUGGAGCGAUUUGUCUGGUUAAUUCCGAUAACGAACGAGACUCUAGCCUACUAAAUAGACCCACGGUCCUUAGUACCGUGAACGGGUCUUCUUAGAGGGACAGGCGGCUUUUAGCCGCACGAAACAGAGCAAUAACAGGUCUGUGAUGCCCUUAGAUGUCCGGGGCCGCACGCGCGCUACACUGAAGGAAUCAGCAUGUGUCUACCCUUGUCCGAAAGGACCGGGUAACCCUCUGAACCUCCUUCGUGAUGGGGAUAGGGGAUUGUAAUUAUUCCCCUCGAACGAGGAAUUCCCAGUAAGCGCGAGUCAUCAGCUCGCGUUGAUUACGUCCCUGCCCUUUGUGCACACCGCCCGUCGCUACUACCGAUUGAAUGGUUUAGUGAGGUCUUCGGACUGGUCCAUCGAGCAGUACCCGCUGUUCUUUGAGCCGGGAAGAUGAUCAAACUUGGCCAUUUAGAGGAAGUA